AGUAUCUGACUGGGACUUUUUGUGAUUUUACAUCAGGUGCAGCUGCUUUAAGGCAACACAGUUUCUCAUGUCCUUUAUGUCUGGCUGUCCCAUGGUCUGGAGACAUUGUCGGGGGAACAAGCCUGAGCUGGUCUCUGACUUCCUGGAGUUACACUCGAUUUGGGGAGAUGGAUGGAUGGAUGGCAUACAAGGGACCGACCAGAGAGCGUGGGGAAGGCAUUCUGUUCUUCUUGAUCCAGCUGAUUUGUGAUUGUAGGUGUGGUUCAUUGGUUCGUCCUGUUUUCUGCUCUGUAGCUGACAUCCGGAGAGCACACUGACAUAGGUGAGAAUAAGCCACUGAUGGAUUUUGAUCAAAAUAUUCUAUAAUAUUUAGUGCUUUCAUUUACUGCAUCUGAAAAUGGAAAUCAACACUUGAAAUUUUGGGGAGUGGGAAGCUUUAUUGGAGUUCCAUCUAUCGAAGAUUACAAAGAGCAGAGCAUGGGACUCAGUGUGUUAUCCCGGAGUGUGUUCUCCUGGAGAGAACACGUCCUGUAACCACCUCCUGGGACACGAAAGAGAAUAUAGCCAACAUUCCUGCCUGCCCCUAGGCUGAGACUCUCCUUUUCUCCUCAAAAAUAACCACUCUGCUGACUGUUUUUUAUUUUUUUUUGUUUUUGUUUUUGUCUCAGC
This 669-nucleotide long non-coding RNA is filed under the name Vulpes vulpes (red fox). RNAcentral describes it as "lncRNA (ENSVVUG00000012542.1)". Lineage: Eukaryota; Metazoa; Chordata; Mammalia; Carnivora; Canidae. The record is from RNAcentral.